This 429-nucleotide ribosomal RNA is filed under the name Bacteroidota bacterium. RNAcentral describes it as "Bacteroidetes bacterium partial 16S ribosomal RNA". It matches the Rfam family "Bacterial small subunit ribosomal RNA", at positions 355 to 776 of the family's 1533-position model. The record is from RNAcentral. Lineage: Bacteria; Pseudomonadati; Bacteroidota.
UAGGGAAUCUUCGGCAAUGGGGGGAACCCUGACCGAGCAACGCCGCGUGAGUGAAGAAGGUUUUCGGAUCGUAAAGCUCUGUUGUUAAGGAAGAACGAGUGUGAGAAUGGAAAGUUCAUGCUGUGACGGUACUUAACCAGAAAGGGACGGCUAACUACGUGCCAGCAGCCGCGGUAAUACGUAGGUCCCGAGCGUUGUCCGGAUUUAUUGGGCGUAAAGCGAGCGCAGGCGGUUAGAUAAGUCUGAAGUUAAAGGCAGUGGCUCAACCAUUGUAGGCUUUGGAAACUGUUUAACUUGAGUGCAGAAGGGGAGAGUGGAAUUCCAUAUGUAGCGGUGAAAUGCGUAGAUAUAUGGAGGAACACCGGUGGCGAAGGCGGCUCUCUGGUCUGUAACUGACGCUGAGGCUCGAAAGCGUGGGGAGCGAACAGG